UCCCUGUGUCGCGACUGGCGCAGGCAAGGUGGAAUCGACCACCGGGGAGCGACACCGAGACCGACCACGAGGACACGGACACCGCGCGCCUGGGUGCCUGGG
RNAcentral lists this non-coding RNA (102 nucleotides) under Carbonactinospora thermoautotrophica. RNAcentral describes it as "Streptomyces thermoautotrophicus ZTP sequence". It matches the Rfam family "ZMP/ZTP riboswitch aptamer (pfl RNA motif)". From Rfam's summary of the family: Previously known as pfl RNA. ZMP is also known as AICAR. Lineage: Bacteria; Bacillati; Actinomycetota; Actinomycetes; Kitasatosporales; Carbonactinosporaceae. The record is from Rfam by way of RNAcentral.